UCUGAAUGUAAAGUAUCUUUCCCUCACCAUUGACAUCUGUUUCUGCAGGAUUUUCUUCCAAGGGAGAUGGAAAACCCAAACUGGGGAAUGUGCAAGAUCUAAACUCCAGCUCAUUAGGCUGAGAUAAAAUGUAGUGAAUGUUCUAUGAUCCUGUGCAAGAAAAGAUGGAGAAAUCUAUCUAUCAAAGGUUUACUCUAACCAAUUUCUGGUCAGGAAGAUGUAACUAGGGCUCAUCCAGACUGAUGCAAAAUAAACCAACCUGGAAAGCUGGUAAAAAAGUCUCUUAUGCCAGGAGCUGACAUAAAAUAUUUUGGGAUAAACAAAACAUGUAUAGAUCUCUGCAAUAAAAUAAGAAAAAAACAGGAACAAAAUCUGGGGCUUUCUGAUCUUUUAAUUAGUCUGGAUGCACCCUCAGUCUCAAAGGUAAUGCAGUAUCCUUUUGCCUACUGAUCCAGACUAACAUAUUUAUGCAUUUAUAAGGACAGUGUAACUGGU
Long non-coding RNA from Sceloporus undulatus (fence lizard), 495 nucleotides. RefSeq lists it as uncharacterized. The record is from RefSeq and is a predicted model, not a curated record. NCBI's taxonomy places the organism in Eukaryota, Metazoa, Chordata, Lepidosauria, Squamata, Phrynosomatidae. The transcript has 3 exons.